UAUUUUGACUAUACAAAGGUAUUGAAAUAAGACUUUAAUUGAGUGCUAAGAGAAUGGACUUUCAAAAAAAUGCUUUCUUAAUUUUAAAAAUUGAAAUUAUUUUUUUUUGUGAAGAAACAACAAUAAAAAUUAAAGACAAGAAGACCCUAAGAAUUUUUAUAAAUUUAUUAUAUUAAUAUACAAUACAUUUAUUUAAUUGGGGCGAUUUGAAAAUAUUUAAAACUUUUUAAAAACUAAUAAGAUCCAUUAAUAAUGAUUUUAUGAAAAAAAUACUCUAGGGAUAACAGCGUAAUAAUUUUAGAUAGAUCUUAUAGAAAAAAUAGUUUGCGACCUCGAUGUUGGAUUAGGAUUCUUAUUUAAUGAAGAAGUUAAAAAAAGAAGUUUGUUCAACUUUUAAAUUCCU
Molecule: ribosomal RNA, 403 nt
Filed under: Haemaphysalis inermis
Lineage: Eukaryota; Metazoa; Arthropoda; Arachnida; Ixodida; Ixodidae
Description: partial large subunit ribosomal RNA
Source: RNAcentral